CGUCAAGUCCUCAUGGCCCUUAUGUCCAGGGCUACACACGUGCUACAAUGGUGCAUACAGAGCGCAGCGAGCUCGCGAGAGUAAGCCAAUCGCAAAAAGUGCGCCUCAGUACAGAUUGCACUCUGCAACUCGAGUGCAUGAAGUCGGAAUCGCUAGUAAUCGCUGAUCAGCAGGCAGCGGUGAAUACGUUCCCGGGCCUU
Molecule: ribosomal RNA, 200 nt
Filed under: uncultured organism
Description: partial small subunit ribosomal RNA
Rfam family: Bacterial small subunit ribosomal RNA
Source: RNAcentral